UAAAUCAAGAAAGAGGGAAACAUGCGAUUCGGAAAGCAGGAGAGGAAAGAAGACAACAGCAACCCCUCGACGUUUCAGUCCACAAACCAUUUUAGGAUCACAUGAGGGAAGAAUGUGAGUCCUGGUGUGUCAGAAAACCUGUAGGCAUCUUUUGGUAUCGUGCUCAUUCUAUAAGCAUCCAGACUUGCAGGAUGAUGUCAAUGGCAUGGAAGAAAAUUGUGGAGAUCAGAGUCCUUUAAGAAUUAUUGCAACACUGACACCUAGGUAGUUCAAAGAAUGAUUCUCUAAACAGACAAACAGCAAAAAUGAGCACUGACAACUCUAAAAAGUGAUUCAGAAGAGAUGAACACUGAAUUCAAAGGUUUAAGGAUACUCAAUUUUGCGUAUUUUUUUGUAUGCCAAGAUUGAUAUAUGAUAAAACAUAUGUCUGAAUAAGAGCACUUUCAAUAUGUAUACGUUAAAAUUUUAACUAAUAAGAGCAUUUGAUUGGCAGCAAUUUUGUUUCUCAGUGGUUCAUAUUACAAGUUGAUGGUGCCAUAUAUUCAGUGAAAUCUGGGGUACUGGCUGUAAAUACCAAUGUUGAUUUUAAUUAAAACUGUCAUUAUAAUGGGAGGAUGGGGAGAUGGGAAAUGUUACGUGUGCUUUGGUGCGGGGAAGAACGGUGGUGGGUAAGUGGGAAAAAUCUUCACCUCUGUAACAGGAAUUCAAAAGAUGAAGACUGAGAUUGAUACAUAUUUUUUAGAAAUCGAUUUUAAAAAACAGAGAAACAACUAAAAGAGGUGAAGGUGGUUGUCCUUGGGAAAAGGGGUGGGCUAUGGGAGGAGUGGGUCGUCGGAGUUUUAAUUAAUACAUUUUAAUACUAUUUAACUUUUUAAACUCUGUGCAUCACUAAUUUGAUAAAAAUAAUUUUUGAAAUAAAUUAAAAAUAAAUAAAUGGUCUCAAAAAAGCCAUUCUGUGCUGUUCUCUCUAUAAACCUAUAUACUUUUUUGGGGGCAUAUGGCCUAACUUUUGGUUAGAGAAAUCUAUUCACUGUGAGAGGCUGCAGGAUGUAGCAGAAAGAGCUUAGUUCUGGUGUCAAUUGUCUGGAGUCAUCUUGGGUUUCUCG
Molecule: long non-coding RNA, 1106 nt
Filed under: Homo sapiens (human)
Lineage: Eukaryota; Metazoa; Chordata; Mammalia; Primates; Hominidae
Description: HSALNT0314211
Source: RNAcentral